GGAGAGGUUCCCGAGUGGCCAAAGGGAGCAGACUGUAAAUCUGCCGGCUCUGCCUUCGGAGGUUCAAAUCCUCCCCUCUCCACCA
RNAcentral lists this transfer RNA (85 nucleotides) under Nitrospirae bacterium GWD2_44_7. RNAcentral's name for it is "tRNA-Tyr". It matches the Rfam family "tRNA". Rfam says of the family: Transfer RNA (tRNA) molecules are approximately 80 nucleotides in length. Lineage: Bacteria; Pseudomonadati; Nitrospirota. RNAcentral also lists the same sequence under 14 other names. The record is from RNAcentral.